This 497-nucleotide ribosomal RNA is filed under the name uncultured bacterium. RNAcentral describes it as "partial 16S ribosomal RNA". It matches the Rfam family "Bacterial small subunit ribosomal RNA", at positions 28 to 507 of the family's 1533-position model. The record is from RNAcentral.
GAUGAACGCUGGCGGCGUGCCUAAUACAUGCAAGUCGAGCGAACAGAUGAGGAGCUUGCUUCUCUGACGUUAGCGGCGGACGGGUGAGUAACACGUGGAUAACCUACCUAUAAGACUGGGAUAACUUCGGGAAACCGGAGCUAAUACCGGAUAAUAUAUUGAACCGCAUGGUUCAAUAGUUAAAGACGGUUUUGCUGUCACUUAUAGAUGGAUCCGCGCCGCAUUAGCUAGUUGGUAAGGUAACGGCUUACCAAGGCAACGAUGCGUAGCCGACCUGAGAGGGUGAUCGGCCACACUGGAACUGAGACACGGUCCAGACUCCUACGGGAGGCAGCAGUAGGGAAUCUUCCGCAAUGGGCGAAAGCCUGACGGAGCAACGCCGCGUGAGUGAUGAAGGUCUUCGGAUCGUAAAACUCUGUUAUUAGGGAAGAACAAAUGUGUAAGUAACUAUGCACGUCUUGACGGUACCUAAUCAGAAAGCCACGGCUAACUACGUG